RNAcentral lists this ribosomal RNA (781 nucleotides) under Escherichia coli. RNAcentral's name for it is "partial 23S ribosomal RNA". It matches the Rfam family "Bacterial large subunit ribosomal RNA", at positions 787 to 1569 of the family's 2925-position model. Lineage: Bacteria; Pseudomonadati; Pseudomonadota; Gammaproteobacteria; Enterobacterales; Enterobacteriaceae. The record is from RNAcentral.
UGUUGAAAAAUUAGCGGAUGACUUGUGGCUGGGGGUGAAAGGCCAAUCAAACCGGGAGAUAGCUGGUUCUCCCCGAAAGCUAUUUAGGUAGCGCCUCGUGAAUUCAUCUCCGGGGGUAGAGCACUGUUUCGGCAAGGGGGUCAUCCCGACUUACCAACCCGAUGCAAACUGCGAAUACCGGAGAAUGUUAUCACGGGAGACACACGGCGGGUGCUAACGUCCGUCGUGAAGAGGGAAACAACCCAGACCGCCAGCUAAGGUCCCAAAGUCAUGGUUAAGUGGGAAACGAUGUGGGAAGGCCCAGACAGCCAGGAUGUUGGCUUAGAAGCAGCCAUCAUUUAAAGAAAGCGUAAUAGCUCACUGGUCGAGUCGGCCUGCGCGGAAGAUGUAACGGGGCUAAACCAUGCACCGAAGCUGCGGCAGCGACACUAUGUGUUGUUGGGUAGGGGAGCGUUCUGUAAGCCUGUGAAGGUGGCCUGUGAGGGUUGCUGGAGGUAUCAGAAGUGCGAAUGCUGACAUAAGUAACGAUAAAGCGGGUGAAAAGCCCGCUCGCCGGAAGACCAAGGGUUCCUGUCCAACGUUAAUCGGGGCAGGGUGAGUCGACCCCUAAGGCGAGGCCGAAAGGCGUAGUCGAUGGGAAACAGGUUAAUAUUCCUGUACUUGGUGUUACUGCGAAGGGGGGACGGAGAAGGCUAUGUUGGCCGGGCGACGGUUGUCCCGGUUUAAGCGUGUAGGCUGGUUUUCCAGGCAAAUCCGGAAAACCAAGGCUGAGGCGUGAUGA